CCCUUAGAUGUCCUGGGCCGCACGCGCGCUACACUGAGUGUCUGAGAUACGAGUCUGCCUGGUCCGGCAAGGUCUAGGUAAUCGCUAAAAGACACAUCAUGCUUGGGAUAGAUUAUUGCAAAUAUUAAUCUUGAACGAGGAAUUCCUAGUAAGCGCAAGUCAACAGCUUGCGUUGAUUACGUCCCUGCCCUUUGUACACACCGCCCGUCGCUACUACUGAUUGGAUAUUUAAGCGAGGUUCUCGAACUGCUAGCGACUUAGCUUCGGUGAGGUCGCAGUGUGGGAAGUGAACCUAGCUUUGGUGUCUAGAGGAAGUAAAAGUCGUAACA
This 329-nucleotide ribosomal RNA is filed under the name uncultured eukaryote. Its description in RNAcentral is "partial 18S ribosomal RNA". It matches the Rfam family "Eukaryotic small subunit ribosomal RNA", at positions 1470 to 1796 of the family's 1831-position model. The record is from RNAcentral.